Molecule: ribosomal RNA, 500 nt
Filed under: uncultured bacterium
Lineage: Bacteria
Description: partial 16S ribosomal RNA
Rfam family: Bacterial small subunit ribosomal RNA
Source: RNAcentral
AUUGAACGCUGGCGGAAUGCUUUACACAUGCAAGUCGAACGGCAGCACGGGGGCAACCCUGGUGGCGAGUGGCGAACGGGUGAGUAAUACAUCGGAACGUGCCCAGUCGUGGGGGAUAACGUAGCGAAAGUUACGCUAAUACCGCAUACGAUCUACGGAUGAAAGCGGGGGACCAUAAGGCCUCGCGCGAUUGGAGCGGCCGAUGUCCGAUUAGGUAGUUGGUGAGGUAAAGGCUCACCAAGCCGACGAUCUGUAGCUGGUCUGAGAGGACGACCAGCCACACUGGGACUGAGACACGGCCCAGACUCCUACGGGAGGCAGCAGUGGGGAAUUUUGGACAAUGGGCGCAAGCCUGAUCCAGCCAUUCCGCGUGCAGGACGAAGGCCUUCGGGUUGUAAACUGCUUUUGUACGGAACGAAAAGGCUCUGGUUAAUACCUGGGGCUCAUGACGGUACCGUAAGAAUAAGCACCGGCUAACUACGUGCCAGCAGCCGCGGUAA